GCCGGUGUGAUGGAAUUGGUAGACGUGACGGACUCAAAAUCCGUUGGUGGUGACAUCGUGUGGGUUCGACUCCCACCAUCGGCACCA
Molecule: transfer RNA, 87 nt
Filed under: Clostridia bacterium
Lineage: Bacteria; Bacillati; Bacillota; Clostridia
Description: tRNA-Leu
Rfam family: tRNA
About the family: Transfer RNA (tRNA) molecules are approximately 80 nucleotides in length.
Source: RNAcentral